CAGCAGCCGCGGUAAUACGAAGGGGGCUAGCGUUGUUCGGAAUUACUGGGCGUAAAGCGCGUGUAGGCGGGUCUUUAAGUCAGAGGUGAAAUGCCAAGGCUCAACCUUGGAACUGCCUUUGAUACUGGAGAUCUUGAGUCCGGGAGAGGUGAGUGGAAUUGCGAGUGUAGAGGUGAAAUUCGUAGAUAUUCGCAAGAACACCAGUGGCGAAGGCGGCUCACUGGCCCGGAACUGACGCUGAGACGCGAAAGCGUGGGGAGCAAACAGGAUUAGAGACCCCUGUAGUCCCUGUCUCUUAUAC
RNAcentral lists this ribosomal RNA (301 nucleotides) under uncultured bacterium. RNAcentral's name for it is "partial 16S ribosomal RNA". It matches the Rfam family "Bacterial small subunit ribosomal RNA", at positions 509 to 807 of the family's 1533-position model. The record is from RNAcentral.